RNAcentral lists this long non-coding RNA (1579 nucleotides) under Callithrix jacchus (white-tufted-ear marmoset). RNAcentral's name for it is "lncRNA (ENSCJAG00000081583.1)". Lineage: Eukaryota; Metazoa; Chordata; Mammalia; Primates; Cebidae. The record is from RNAcentral.
GCGGAAAACUAUAUAUAGCUAUACUUAAAAGGUGUGGAGCACGUCUUUGCUAAGCUGUGCUAUAUGUAUGUUUUAAUUCUUAAAGCCUCACUGUAAUUAUCACCAUAUCAUAGAAAAGGAGAUUGAGGUGCAGGAAGUAACAUGAAGAGGUCACAAAGCUGGAAGAAGACAAGUCCUGGUUGCUUGGUUUCAGAGCUCCUGCUUGUGACCACUGCAUUCUCUACCAUGGGGCUGGACUGCACUGAGGAAUAGAGGUGUUCCCCCAUUGCUGACUUCCUGAUGAAGCUCCUCUGAAUUUCCUUAGUCGAAUGAUGCAGAAAAUGCACCUCUGGGGAAGGAAUGGCUCCAAGAUCAAGAUCAAGUCUGAGUAUUUUCCAUAUGAAGGUUCGGGAAAUCCUGACCUGACCAGUAGGAUCAAAUACAAACUCCUCAGAGUGGCACGUGAGGCCAUUCUGCCCUGUCUCCGUCACCUUUCAGCCUCGUUUCCUGCAUCUCUCCCAAAGACUGCUCCCUUUCACUGGAGUAGAGCUUCUGAACGGUAGGUACCCUUUCCUUUUCACAUAUGUACCUACAGAACCUAUCGGUGAAUGUUUACAGAAUGAAUUAAUGCAGGAAUAAGCGAAUGAAUAUGUGAUGGAAGGCAGGAGGAAAAGGAAUAGGCUCUUUCACAGACCAGUUAGCCAACUCCUAACAUUACUGGAAAUAAUAAAGUUCCUUGCAUGACCCCAGGCUGGGACUUUCCAGCCUCCCCUAGUUCAGCCAUAAUUCUAUUACAGAAUAACAGAAUAAGUUAUUUUGAGGGGGAGAGAGAGAGAAAGAGAGAGAGAGAGAGAGAGAGAGAGAGAGAGAGAGAGAGAGAGAGAGAGAGAGAGAGAGACAGUGUGUGAGCUGAAGCUAACACCCCAGGAGGAAGGUCAGAUGCAGCCUGUAUUCUGAGAGGAGGAUUCAUCUCCCCACAGCAUUUUCAACUGGGGAAUUCUCAAAGGAUCAAAGAGAGACUGUCCACACUGCUACCCAUCCCAUCUGCAGCCUAUGGACUGCUUCCCUCCCACCCUUUUUUAGCUUCCCAAGAAAGGAUGAUUCACGUCAACAGACUUGUACGUGUACUUUUGUUUAGUCCAGAAAGUAUUUGUUUUUCAUGUUUGUGUAUGGGAAUGUGAGUUGAGAUCAGCUGAUGUGGUUGUGGGCAUGAGUAACUUAGCAAGCAAAGCUGCACAGCUUAUUAUGAUCUUCAAGGCCCAUGUCAGUUCCAUGGUGCUAUGCUCAUAUUACUUACUGGGUGAAAGUCAACUGUAGUGGUCCCUACUCUGUUAUCAUUCUCAUACAGAGGAUAUGGAUGUGCUGUGUAGCCAGCCUCAUCCAUUAAAAAGGAAGACUUUUCUUCCUUUCUUUCCUCUUUGCCUCCUUCCUUCUUUUCACCAUUCAAUUAUUGUCUCCAGUGACAAGCUUGUCCAGCCUUUGACCCUGAUCCAACACAAUAAAAUUAUAAAAUAAGUUCUUCUGUGUCUGCAGAAAGCUUACAUAUGGACAAUUCAGUUGUAACAAAGAGGGUGUCAGCCAUGGCUCUUUCCCCAUAAAC